RNAcentral lists this microRNA precursor (66 nucleotides) under Bombyx mori (domestic silkworm). RNAcentral's name for it is "mir-2774 microRNA precursor family". It matches the Rfam family "mir-2774 microRNA precursor family". Lineage: Eukaryota; Metazoa; Arthropoda; Insecta; Lepidoptera; Bombycidae. The record is from Rfam by way of RNAcentral.
ACAACAUACGGACCGUAGGUCUAAUGAGUAAUAUCACCCGCUCGGUGAAAAUCUUCCUUUUCUCGU